Long non-coding RNA from Uranotaenia lowii, 490 nucleotides. RefSeq lists it as uncharacterized. NCBI's taxonomy places the organism in Eukaryota, Metazoa, Arthropoda, Insecta, Diptera, Culicidae. The transcript has 3 exons. The record is from RefSeq and is a predicted model, not a curated record.
ACAAACUUGAGGGUGAAAAUAAUGGAAAUAAAUCUCCAUUUCAAAAUUUAAAUCUUGAUCGUGGUCAUCGCCGAGCACUCUAAAUACUCUUACUAAAUAGAGCUCAGCAAAAAAUAUACCCAAAGGGAAAUUCCUUAACAUACGAGUUAAUGAAGUCGUACAUCGUGGACUAGCUCCUUGAUCCUGUUCUUUUGAAGAUUUUAGGAAAUUUUACGCCUGUGAUGGACACAAUAAGGAAAUUUACUCCUUCGAGAGUGAUCAAAGUAUGAAUGAGAACAAAAAUACACGUUAUAUUGUAAGGCAUACAAGCGCAGAAAUAAUGUUUUUCAAACAUAAAAAAAGCUGGCUUGUAAAAAAUGUAAUGUUAAACAAAAGUUGCAAUGUUUGCGGGAGGAUUUUUUUAUCGUGAUGCAUUUGGAAAAUCGUUCUGUGUGUUAACAUCGAAAUAUAGAUCCGGGUAAUCCCGUGUAUCAUUUUAACUAGAGUGAAG